RNAcentral lists this long non-coding RNA (611 nucleotides) under Eucalyptus grandis. RNAcentral describes it as "long non-coding RNA (EGRA_LNC001388)". Lineage: Eukaryota; Viridiplantae; Streptophyta; Magnoliopsida; Myrtales; Myrtaceae. The record is from RNAcentral.
UUGCGACUUGGUAGGCUGUUGGGCUUUCUGAAGAUGAGAGCUGACUAGUUGUCUCCCCAGAGGAUUCAGGAACUUCAUUACUUGUCUUUUCAUCAUUUGGAGCAGCCUCCUCAACUACCAAUUCGCCCGUCGGAGCCACCUCCACAGGUACCAACUCAUCUUUUGGAGAAGCCCCCUCAUCUACCAACUCGACAGAUGAUUCUUUUCCUUCAGUAGUCAAGGCUUCAGGACUGACCUCCACUUCUUCCACAGCUGCUUGGGUAGCACCAUCCACACUUUGUGACAAGCUUGAAGCUGCACUUUCUGGUUCGCUCUUUGUGACUUCAUCGGCUGUUGGGCUUUCUGAAGAUGAGAGCUGACUAGUUGUCUCCCCAGAGGAUUCAGGAACUUCAUUACUUGUCAUUUCAUCAUUUGGAGCAGCCUCCUCAACUACCGAUUCACCCGUCGGAGCCGCCUCCACAGGUAUCAAUUCAUCCGUUGGAGAAGCCCCCUCAGCUACCAACUCGACAGAUGAGUCACUCCCUUCAGUAGUCAAGGCUUCAGGACUGACCUCCGCUUCUUCCACAGCUGCUUGGGUAGCACCAUCUGCGCUUUGUGACAAGCUCAAAGCC